CCUACGGGGGGCAGCAGUGGGGAAUAUUGGACAAUGGACCAAAAGUCUGAUCCAGCAAUUCUGUGUGCACGAUGACGUUUUUCGGAAUGUAAAGUGCUUUCAGUUGGGAAGAAAAAAAUGACGGUACCAACAGAAGAAGUGACGGCUAAAUACGUGCCAGCAGCCGCGGUAAUACGUAUGUCACAAGCGUUAUCCGGAUUUAUUGGGCGUAAAGCGCGUCUAGGUGGUUAUGUAAGUCUGAUGUGAAAAUGCAGGGCUCAACUCUGUAUUGCGUUGGAAACUGCAUGACUAGAGUACUGGAGAGGUAAGCGGAACUACAAGUGUAGAGGUGAAAUUCGUAGAUAUUUGUAGGAAUGCCGAUGGGGAAGCCAGCUUACUGGACAGAUACUGACGCUAAAGCGCGAAAGCGUGGGUAGCAAACAGGAUUAGAUACCCUUGUAGUCCU
This 445-nucleotide ribosomal RNA is filed under the name Escherichia coli. Its description in RNAcentral is "bacterial SSU rRNA". It matches the Rfam family "Bacterial small subunit ribosomal RNA", at positions 338 to 797 of the family's 1533-position model. Lineage: Bacteria; Pseudomonadati; Pseudomonadota; Gammaproteobacteria; Enterobacterales; Enterobacteriaceae. The record is from RNAcentral.